GAUGAAAGAACGCAGCGAAAUGCGAUACGUAAUGUGAAUUGCAGAAUUCAGUGAAUCAUCGAGUCUUUGAACGCACAUUGCGCCCCCUGGUAUUCCGGGGGGCAUGCCUGUCCGAGCGUCAUUGCUGCCCUCAAGCACGGCUUGUGUGUUGGGCCUCCGUCCUCCUCCCGGGGGACGGGCCCGAAAGGCAGCGGCGGCACCGCGUCCGGUCCUCGAGCGUAUGGGGCUUCGUCACCCGCUCUUGUAGGCCCGGCCGGCGCUUGCCGACACAUCAAUCUUUUUUCCAGGUUGACCUCGGAUCAGGUAGGGAUACCCGCUGAACUUAAGCAUAUCAAUAAGCGGAGGA
This 346-nucleotide unclassified non-coding RNA is filed under the name soil metagenome. Its description in RNAcentral is "partial contains 5.8S ribosomal RNA, internal transcribed spacer 2, and large subunit ribosomal RNA". The stretch from base 6 to 121 matches the Rfam family "5.8S ribosomal RNA", at positions 39 to 154 of the family's 154-position model. The record is from RNAcentral.